This 253-nucleotide ribosomal RNA is filed under the name uncultured bacterium. RNAcentral describes it as "partial 16S ribosomal RNA". It matches the Rfam family "Bacterial small subunit ribosomal RNA", at positions 524 to 776 of the family's 1533-position model. The record is from RNAcentral.
GACAGAGGUGCCGAGCGUUAGGCGGAAUCACUGGGCUUAAAGCGUGUGUAGGCGGGCGGACAAGUACCUUGUGAAAUCCCACGGCUCAACCGUGGAACGGCUGGGUAUACUGUUUGCCUUGAGCCAACUAGGGGCGAGCGGAACAAGUGGUGGAGCGGUGAAAUGCGUAGAUAUCACUUGGAACGCCAAAGGUGAAAACAGCUCGCUGGGGUUGUGCUGACGCUGAGACACGAAAGCCAGGGGAGCGAACGGG